AUACUCUGGUUUCUCUUCAGAUCGUGUAAACCUUCUGUCUUUUAUUAUACUAAAGAUUUCCAUGGAGAGGAACAGUUAUGAGCCUUCACUCAAUUUUUUGAGCCCCCAUUCUUUACGAAAAAAAU
This 125-nucleotide small nuclear RNA is filed under the name Prolemur simus (greater bamboo lemur). RNAcentral describes it as "U5 spliceosomal RNA (ENSPSMG00000006994.1)". It matches the Rfam family "U5 spliceosomal RNA". From Rfam's summary of the family: U5 RNA is a component of both types of known spliceosome. The precise function of this molecule is unknown, though it is known that the 5' loop is required for splice site selection and p220 binding, and that both the 3' stem-loop and the Sm site are important for Sm protein binding and cap methylation. Lineage: Eukaryota; Metazoa; Chordata; Mammalia; Primates; Lemuridae. The record is from Rfam by way of RNAcentral.